CGGGUGAGUAAUGUAUGGGGAUCUGCCUGAUGGCGGGGGAUAACUACUGGAAACGGUAGCUAAUACCGCAUAAUGUCUACGGACCAAAGCGGGGGACCUCCGGGCCUCGCGCCAUCAGAUGUGCCCAGAUGGGAUUAGCUAGUAGGUGGGGUAACGGCUCACCUAGGCGACGAUCCCUAGCUGGUCUGAGAGGAUGACCAGCCACACUGGAACUGAGACACGGUCCAG
RNAcentral lists this ribosomal RNA (228 nucleotides) under uncultured bacterium. Its description in RNAcentral is "partial 16S ribosomal RNA". It matches the Rfam family "Bacterial small subunit ribosomal RNA", at positions 103 to 334 of the family's 1533-position model. The record is from RNAcentral.